Molecule: ribosomal RNA, 505 nt
Filed under: uncultured bacterium
Lineage: Bacteria
Description: partial 16S ribosomal RNA
Rfam family: Bacterial small subunit ribosomal RNA
Source: RNAcentral
GACGAACGCUGGCGGCGUGCCUAAUACAUGCAAGUAGAACGCACAGUUUAUACCGUAGCUUGCUACACCAUAGACUGUGAGUUGCGAACGGGUUAGUAACGCGUAGGUAACCUGCCUGGUAGCGUGGGAUAACUAUUGGAAACGAUAGCUAAUAGCGCAUAAUAUUAAUUGUUGCAUGAUAAUUAAUUGAAAUGUGCAAUUGCACCACUACCAGAUGGACCUGCGUUGUAUUAGCUAGUAGGUGAGGUAACGGCUCACCUAGGCGACGAUACAUAGCCGACCGGCGAGGGUGAUCGGCCAGCCUGGGACGGAGACACGGCCCAGAGUCCUACAGGAGGCAGCAGGAGGGAAUCUUCGGGAAGGGGCGAAAGUCAGAGCGAGAAAGGCCGCGUGCGUGAAGAAGGUUUUCGGAUCGUAAAGCUCUGUUGUAAGGGAAGAAAGGGUGUGCGAGUGGAAAGUUCACACUGUGACGGUAUCUUACCAGAAAGGGACGGCUAACUACGUG